UACAGAGGUCUCAAGCGUUGUUCGGAUUCAUUGGGCGUAAGGGGUGUGUAGGUGGCGCCGUAAGUCGGGUGUGAAAUUUCGGAGCUUAACUCCGAAACUGCAUUCGAUACUGCGGUGCUUGAGGACUGGAGAGGAGACUGGAAUUCAUGGUGUAGCAGUGAAAUGCGUAGAGAUCAUGAGGAAGACCAGUGGCGAAGGCGGGUCUCUGGACAGUUCCUGACACUGAGACACGAAGGCCAGGGGAGCAAACGGG
This 253-nucleotide ribosomal RNA is filed under the name uncultured bacterium. RNAcentral describes it as "partial 16S ribosomal RNA". It matches the Rfam family "Bacterial small subunit ribosomal RNA", at positions 524 to 776 of the family's 1533-position model. The record is from RNAcentral.